RNAcentral lists this ribosomal RNA (445 nucleotides) under uncultured bacterium. RNAcentral's name for it is "partial 16S ribosomal RNA". It matches the Rfam family "Bacterial small subunit ribosomal RNA", at positions 354 to 796 of the family's 1533-position model. The record is from RNAcentral.
GUGAGGAAUAUUGCGCAAUGGAGGCAACUCUGACGCAGCCAUGCCGCGUGCAGGAAGAAGGCGCUACGCGUUGUAAACUGCUUUUAACCGGGACGAAACCCCAGGACGUGUCCUGGGUUGACGGUACCGGAGGAAUAAGCACCGGCUAACUUCGUGCCAGCAGCCGCGGUAAUACGAAGGGUGCAAGCGUUAGCCGGAUUCAUUGGGUUUAAAGGGUGCGUAGGCGGAGCGUUAAGUCAGUGGUGAAAUCCUGCAGCUUAACUGUAGACUUGCCAUUGAUACUGGCGCUCUUGAGUGCGCUUGAAGUGGGCGGAAUGUGCCGUGUAGCGGUGAAAUGCUUAGAUAUGGCACAGAACACCAAUUGCGAAGGCAGCUCACUAAGGCGAUACUGACGCUGAGGCACGAAAGCGUGGGGAUCGAACAGGAUUAGAAACCCUAGUAGUCC